AACAUCGCGCACCUGCGGGAACCUGCGGAGGGAUCAUUAGCUUAUGAGUGUGUGUGCGUUGGCGGUGCGCGUGUGGGGGAUGAAAGGGGGGUGGGUUGGCUGGUAUAUGUGGCAUAUGUCCACGUAUGCGGGCUCCCGCUCCCUCCUCCGCACGUCGCCGCCGCGCCACACAUCAUCGCCACCAUGUGAACGAGGAAUCUAUUAUUAUGUAUGUGUUCGGAAGUGUGCGUGCCGCGUGUG
RNAcentral lists this unclassified non-coding RNA (240 nucleotides) under soil metagenome. RNAcentral's name for it is "partial contains 5.8S ribosomal RNA, internal transcribed spacer 2, and large subunit ribosomal RNA". The record is from RNAcentral.